CCCUGAGUAAAGUGGCGUACGGGUGAGUAACACGUGGGUAAUCCACCCUUUAGUGGGGAAUAACCCUGGGAAACCGGGGCUAAUACCGCAUAAGCCUGAGAAGGGAAAGCAGCAAUGCGCUGAAGGAGGAGCCCGCGGCCGAUUAGCUAGUUGGUGAGGUAACGGCCCACCAAGGCGAUGAUCGGUAGCUGGUCUGAGAGAGCGACCAGCCACACUGGGACUGAGAAACGGCCCAG
RNAcentral lists this ribosomal RNA (236 nucleotides) under uncultured bacterium. Its description in RNAcentral is "partial 16S ribosomal RNA". It matches the Rfam family "Bacterial small subunit ribosomal RNA", at positions 84 to 334 of the family's 1533-position model. The record is from RNAcentral.